RNAcentral lists this ribosomal RNA (580 nucleotides) under uncultured Glomeromycotina. RNAcentral describes it as "LSU rRNA". It matches the Rfam family "Eukaryotic large subunit ribosomal RNA", at positions 204 to 637 of the family's 3401-position model. Lineage: Eukaryota; Fungi; Glomeromycota. The record is from RNAcentral.
CAUGGAGGGUGAGAAUCCCGUUCGGUUAACCAAAGCGCUUUACGAUACGCUCUCAAAGAGUCGAGUUGUUUGGGAUUGCAGCUCAAAAUGGGAGGUAAAUUUCUCCUAAGGCUAAAUACCGGCGAGAGACCGAUAGCGAACAAGUACCGUGAGGGAAAGAUGAAAAGAACUUUGAAAAGAGAGUUAAACAGUACGUGAAAUUGUUGAAAGGGAAACGAUUAAAGUCAGUCGUACCUACGAGUGAUCAACCUACUCGAGUGCGAUUUUGUGGGUAUGUUAGAGCUUAAAAACCUUCAUGCUUACAAAUUGGUGCUCUUUGGGCGUACUUUCUCGUAUGGUAGGUUAACAUCAAUUUCGAUCGUUAUAAAAUGACUGGAGGAAUGUAGCUUCGACCUCGGUUGAAGUGUUAUAGCCUUUGGUAGAUGUAAUGAUUGGGAUUGAGGAUUGCAACGGAUACCCUCUGGGCUAUUCGUCUGAUCUCUGGAAGUUACCUUGGUGUCGAAAGCGUGCUUACGAUAUUAAGGUUGACGGCCAAUAGGUUAGAACGUGAUUAAAUUCGUUAAGGAUGUUGACGUAAUGG